UAGGGAAUCUUCGGCAAUGGACGAAAGUCUGACCGAGCAACGCCGCGUGAGUGAAGAAGGUUUUCGGAUCGUAAAACUCUGUUGUCAGAGAAGAACAAGGACGUUAGUAACUGAACGUCCCCUGACGGUAUCUAACCAGAAAGCCACGGCUAACUACGUGCCAGCAGCCGCGGUAAUACGUAGGUGGCAAGCGUUGUCCGGAUUUAUUGGGCGUAAAGCGAGCGCAGGCGGUUUCUUAAGUCUGAUGUGAAAGCCCCCGGCUCAACCGGGGAGGGUCAUUGGAAACUGGGAGACUUGAGUGCAGAAGAGGAGAGUGGAAUUCCAUGUGUAGCGGUGAAAUGCGUAGAUAUAUGGAGGAACACCAGUGGCGAAGGCGGCUCUCUGGUCUGUAACUGACGCUGAGGCGCGAAAGCGUGGGGAGCAAACAGG
Molecule: ribosomal RNA, 429 nt
Filed under: Gemmatimonadota bacterium
Lineage: Bacteria; Pseudomonadati; Gemmatimonadota
Description: Gemmatimonadetes bacterium partial 16S ribosomal RNA
Rfam family: Bacterial small subunit ribosomal RNA
Source: RNAcentral